RNAcentral lists this ribosomal RNA (164 nucleotides) under Disakisperma obtusiflorum. RNAcentral's name for it is "5.8S ribosomal RNA". It matches the Rfam family "5.8S ribosomal RNA". Rfam says of the family: 5.8S ribosomal RNA (5.8S rRNA) is a component of the large subunit of the eukaryotic ribosome. It is transcribed by RNA polymerase I as part of the 45S precursor that also contains 18S and 28S rRNA. Lineage: Eukaryota; Viridiplantae; Streptophyta; Magnoliopsida; Poales; Poaceae. The record is from RNAcentral. RNAcentral also lists the same sequence under 1 other name.
CACAUGACUCUCGGCAACGGAUAUCUCGGCUCUUGCAUCGAUGAAGAACGUAGCAAAAUGCGAUACCUGGUGUGAAUUGCAGAAUCCCGUGAACCAUCGAGUUUUUGAACGCAAGUUGCGCCCGAGGCCUUCUGGUCGAGGGCACGUCUGCCUGGGCGUCACGC